CCAACCUAAUUAAUAAUUAUUUUAGAAUAUUUGAUAAAGACGAGGACGGAAAACUGAGUGUUCCUGAGCUAAAACAAAUAAUGAGUUCUCUAGGAGAGAAAAUGGCCGGCAGAGAGCUUGAGCAGUUGGUCGAUGAAGCCGAUACGACAAAAGAUGGGUUUGUUAAUUAUGAAGAUUUUUGCAAUGUUCUUGUUGACGACAAAAAAGCGAAGUCUAAAAAGGGAGCUGCAAUUAAAGGAAAGCGGCUUGAUCACAAUAAGAACAUUUCCUGAUUGGCUGCAAUAAACCAUUUACAGAUCCAAUUGGGCCGCCAAAUCACUUGAUGAUCCAAUAGGCCCCCCAAAUCAUUUGAUGAUCCAAAAUGGCCGCCAAAUCAUUUACAGAUCCAAUAUGGCCAUGAAACCAUUUCCUGGUCCAAUAUGGCCGCCAAACCAUUUCCUGAUCCAAUAUGGUCGCCAAACCAUUUCCUGAUUCAAAAUGACUGCUUUAACCAUUUCCUGAUCCAAUAUGGCCGGCAAACCAUCCCCCGAUCCAAUAUGGCCGUCAAAUCAUUUCCUGAUCCAAUAUGACCACAACAAAAUUUACUGAUCCACUUUGGUCGCCAAACCAUUUCCUGAUCUAAUACGGCCGCCAAAUCAUUUAAAGAUCCAAUAUGGCCACCAAAUCAUUUACUGAUCCAAUAUGGCCACUUAAUCAUUUCCGGGAUCAUUUUGUCCACCAAAUGACCAAAAAUGGUCACUGAACUGUUUGAAAGUAUUAAAUUCUCGAGCUCAAAUUAAGAUUAUUUUAAUGUGGAAAAAAAAACAAUUAAUAUUUUUAAUAUGCACAAAAUAAAAAUCGUGGGUUUUACCAAAAACGUGUUGAUUAGGGUUAUUUUUCAUUCUGGACCUUCGGGACAUCUAUGAGCAAAAUGAUAUGCUUAGUUGUAAUAUUUGUUUCCAGAUUUGGGUUGAUUUUGUCCAGUAAAAUAUAUUGUUGAAGCCAUUGCAAAAUUCACAUAAACAACUAAUUUUUUUUAUCAAAGCCUACUGAAAGCCAAAAACCUAAAAUAAAAAUUUUUUAAAAAAUCAAAUGUCCAAAUUUAUUUAUUGCAAGAACAUUUAUUUGUGAAGAAUAACUGUUAAAUGUUCAAAUAUUUGAUGACAAUCCAAAUAUUUUUUAUGUUUCUCUCUUAGUGCUUUUUGUUCGACAUAAAUAGUCUUUUAUUGCCUUUAAUUUUCCGGAUAAAAAACUCAAUCAGAAAAUUGGUAUUGGUCUAGAAGUGCUCACUUUCAAAAGUUUCAAUGAAUUCUUGAUAAAAAGUAUUGUGUGUUUAUUGCUAAUCCCUAAAAAUGGGGGGAGGGAAGAAAUCUUAUGAACAUUUUUAUACCUCCCCAGUUUAAAAACUUAUAAAGAAUAAGAAAGAAUAAGUAGGCCUUAAAAAGUUAGCAUUAUUGACAUGUAUUACUUUAAAAGCGCCACCCCCCCCCCCCCCCCACUCUAAAUUAGUAUAAUGAUAUCCCAACCUAGAUAGGGUUAAAGGAUUUACAAAAAAAAUUGAGGCUCGUAGUUCUGUGGUUCGUGUUUAAAGUAUAUAUUUGUUUCAAUGUAUCAUGUAUUCAUUGUAUUAGUAGUCUGUAUGUUACGUAUUGUAUUAUGUAUUGUAUUUGUAACGUGUGUGUUAUGAAGUGUAUUUAUCAUGCUUGCAUGAAUUAUUGUAUUAUUAAUUGUUGUAAGAUAUGAAACUGCAAUAAGUAUUCUAGUUUAAGAUAGAUUUUUAUCAAAACAUAAUUAACAAAUGACUUAUCGAACUUACCGAUAGCAUUUUAAGAUUUCUAACAGAAUGUUAGGGGUUCAGUUAUUUGUGAGAUAUACUUAACAUUCUGUUAAUAAUUUUAAACAAAAUGUUCAAAUUUGAAAAUGCAUUUGAUAUUUCGAUCACUAGCUAAACACAAAGCUGGGUGUUCGUGAAACAACAGUACUAGCGCUGCUAUAGCUGUGAAUUAAACUGGGUGGCUAAAUAUUGUUUAAAGGGAGUGACCGGCAAUGUACGGUAGUUUAACUGAGACUGUAGUAUCGUGCAAAAAUUGUUUAGGAAUCAUUGAGACCCAAGAGACGUUUUUACGGUGCAUAUUUGUUCAGCAAGAGCGUAAAUUCAAUCUUUAAAUCCUGAUAGAUUGUUCAUU
RNAcentral lists this long non-coding RNA (2165 nucleotides) under Eurytemora carolleeae. Its description in RNAcentral is "uncharacterized LOC111697823". The record is from RNAcentral. Lineage: Eukaryota; Metazoa; Arthropoda; Copepoda; Calanoida; Temoridae.